This 696-nucleotide long non-coding RNA is filed under the name Rattus norvegicus (Norway rat). Its description in RNAcentral is "long non-coding RNA NONRATT004071". The record is from RNAcentral. Lineage: Eukaryota; Metazoa; Chordata; Mammalia; Rodentia; Muridae.
UCCCUAUACCACAGUAUCAGAGACUGAGUAAGUUAUAGAUCAAAGAGGGCACAGGCUGACUUCUGGCAAUGGUCCUCUCACUCAGAGAAUCUCAAAGAUGUGCCAGGCUUCUGUGACCUGAGAUGAGUUGAAUCGCACAUGUCCUCUGGCCUCUUAUAAAGCCACCAGGGUUCAGUCCUGAGGUUCUGCCCUGUGGAAUGUAUUCAGUGCUAAUAACCUUUCAGAGGCUCCACUUUUGAAUGCCAUGGGCGGAUUAAAUUUCUGCCUUUAAAAAUUCCCCAUGUAUGGGGCUGUGUUGCCGAUAUGUACUGUGCGUACUACUUUUAUGCUUGGUACUCAGAGCCCAGGAAAGGACAUCAGAGCCUCUGAAACUAGUUACAGGUGUUUGUGAGCCACUAUGUGGGUACUGGGAAUUGAAUCCUCCUCUGGAAGAGAAGCCAGUGGUCUUAACUGCUGUGCCUUCCCUCCAGCCCUGGAUACCCACCUUUUUAAUACCCCACAAUAGAGAUUGCAUUUCAACUCUGUAACGGGGCUCCAAUGUUCUAAGUCAUCAGACACUUGGUCCACACCAUCUCCGAGUCCCACACCAGCCCCUUACUCCUGCUUACGUGUUCUGGAUCUGCACCCGGGCAUCUGACUUUCCCACCUGUCCAGGUGCUCUGCAGCUUCUGGAGCAGUACUCGCUCUCCUAGGUCA